CCUACGGGUGGCUGCAGUGAGGAAUAUUGGUCAAUGGGCUUACGCCUGAACCAGCCAAGUCGCGUGAGGGAAGACUGCCCUAUGGGUUGUAAACCUCUUUUGUCAGGGAGCAACGCCGACCACGUGUACCCGGGCUGAGAGUACCUGAAGAAAAAGCAUCGGCUAACUCCGUGCCAGCAGCCGCGGUAAUACGGAGGAUGCGAGCGUUAUCCGGAUUUAUUGGGUUUAAAGGGUGCGUAGGCGGACUGUAAAGCCGGCGGUAAAAUAUCGGGGCUCAACCCCGCCGCGCCGUUGAAACUGGCGGUCUUGAGUGGGCGAGAAGUAUGCGGAAUGCGUGGUGUAGCGGUGAAAUGCAUAGAUAUCACGCAGAACGCCGAUUGCGAAGGCAGCAUACCGGCGCCCAACUGACGCUGAAGCACGAAAGCGUGGGGAUCGAACAGGAUUAGAUACCCUUGUAGUC
Molecule: ribosomal RNA, 460 nt
Filed under: uncultured bacterium
Lineage: Bacteria
Description: partial 16S ribosomal RNA
Rfam family: Bacterial small subunit ribosomal RNA
Source: RNAcentral